This 945-nucleotide ribosomal RNA is filed under the name uncultured organism. RNAcentral's name for it is "bacterial SSU rRNA". It matches the Rfam family "Bacterial small subunit ribosomal RNA", at positions 469 to 1411 of the family's 1533-position model. The record is from RNAcentral.
UUGACGGUACCCUACUAGAAAGGAGCCGCUAACUUCGUGCCAGAAGCGUCGGUAAUACGGGGGCUCCAAGCGUUAUCCGGUGUUAUUGGGCGUAAAGAGUCGUGUAGGUGGUUGGGUAAGUUAUCUUUCAAAUAUCUUUGCUUAACAAAGAGGAGGGGGAUAAUACUGCUCGACUAGAAUUUUCUCAAGGGAGAUCGGAACUGAGGGAGGAGUAGUGAAAUGCGUUGAUACCCUCGGGAACACCAGUGGCGUAGGCGGAUCUCUGGGAGAAGAUUGACACUGAGACACGAAAGCUAGGGGAGCGAAGCAGAUUAGAGACCUGCGUAGUCCUAGCCGUAAACGCAUGCUUGCUAGCUGCAUGAAUCUACCUUCGGGUGGUAUCGUGUGGCGAAGGUAACCCGUUAAGCAAGCCGCCUGGAAAGUACGGCCGCAAGGCUGAAAUUCAAAGGAAUUGGCGGGGAGGCACACAACCAGUGGAACAUGUGGUUUAAUUCGAGACUAACCGAAGAACCUCACCAGGGUUUGACAUGUAGCUGCACGUCUUAAGAAAUUAAGACUCUCUUGAAGGUGCUACACAGGUGCUGCAUGGCUGUCGUCAGCUCGUUCCGUGGGGAGUGCCCUUAAGUGGGACAACGAGCGCAACCCCUAUUACAUGUUAGAAAUGUCAUGUAAGACUGCCUUGCCAUUUGGCGGGGAGGAAGGAGGGGCAGACGUCAAGUCCGCAUGGUCCUUAUGCCCUGGGCUACACACAUGUUACAAUGAGUGCGGCAAUGAGUCUGUCGCGAGCACGUAAGUGUAAGCUAAUCUCUUAAAUGUACUCUCAGUGGGGAUUGAGGUCUGCAACUCGACCUCAUGAACACGGAAUUGGUAGUAAUCGCGGGUCAGCUAUACCGCGGUGAAUACGUUCUUGCCUCUUGCACACACCGCCCGUCAAACCAGCAAAGU